CCUACGGGGGACAGCAGUGAGGAAUAUUGGUCAAUGGGCGCGAGCCUGAACCAGCCAAGUCGCGUGAGGGAAGACGGUCCUAUGGAUUGUAAACCUCUUUUGUCGGGGAGCAAAAGACGCCACGCGUGGCGUUCCGAGAGUACCCGAAGAAAAAGCAUCGGCUAACUCCGUGCCAGCAGCCGCGGUAAUACGGAGGAUGCGAGCGUUAUCCGGAUUUAUUGGGUUUAAAGGGUGCGCAGGCGGAAGAUCAAGUCAGCGGUAAAAUUGAGGGGCUCAACCUCUUCGAGCCGUUGAAACUGGUUUUCUGGAGUGAGUGAGACGUAUGCGGAAUGCGUGGUGUAGCGGUGAAAUGCAUAGAUAUCACGCAGAACUCCGAUUGCGAAGGCAGCAUACCGGCGCUCAACUGACGCUCAUGCACGAAAGUGUGGGUAUCGAACAGGAUUAGAUACCCUGGUAGUC
Molecule: ribosomal RNA, 459 nt
Filed under: uncultured bacterium
Lineage: Bacteria
Description: partial 16S ribosomal RNA
Rfam family: Bacterial small subunit ribosomal RNA
Source: RNAcentral